This 253-nucleotide ribosomal RNA is filed under the name uncultured bacterium. Its description in RNAcentral is "partial 16S ribosomal RNA". It matches the Rfam family "Bacterial small subunit ribosomal RNA", at positions 524 to 776 of the family's 1533-position model. The record is from RNAcentral.
UACGGAGGGUGCAAGCGUUGUUCGGAAUCACUGGGCGUAAAGGGCGUGUAGGCGGUCUAUCAAGUCUGGUGUGAAAUCCCCUCGCUCAACGAGGGAACUGCGCCGGAAACUGACAGACUAGAGUACCGGAGAGGAAGGUGGAAUUCCCGGUGUAGCGGUGAAAUGCGUAGAUAUCGGGAGGAACAACGGUGGCGAAGGCGGCCUUCUGGACGGAUACUGACGCUGAGACGCGAAAGCGUGGGGAGCAAACCGG